GAUGAACGCUGGCGGCGUGCCUAAUACAUGCAAGUCGAGCGAACAGACGAGGAGCUUGCUCCUCUGACGUUAGCGGCGGACGGGUGAGUAACACGUGGAUAACCUACCUAUAAGACUGGGAUAACUUCGGGAAACCGGAGCUAAUACCGGAUAACAUGUUGAACCGCAUGGUUCAACAGUGAAAGACGGCUUUGCUGUCUCUUAUAGAUGGAUCCGCGUCGCAUUAGCUAGUUGGUAAGGUAACGGCUUACCAAGGCAACGAUGCGUAGCCGACCUGAGAGGGUGAUCGGCCACACUGGAACUGAGACACGGUCCAGACUCCUACGGGAGGCAGCAGUAGGGAAUCUUCCGCAAUGGGCGAAAGCCUGACGGAGCAACGCCGCGUGAGUGAAGAAGGUCUUCGGAUCGUAAAACUCUGUUAUUAGGGAAGAACAACUGUGUAAGUAACUAUGCACGUCUUGACGGUACCUAAUCAGAAAGCCACGGCUAACUACGUG
This 497-nucleotide ribosomal RNA is filed under the name uncultured bacterium. Its description in RNAcentral is "partial 16S ribosomal RNA". It matches the Rfam family "Bacterial small subunit ribosomal RNA", at positions 28 to 507 of the family's 1533-position model. The record is from RNAcentral.